Molecule: ribosomal RNA, 468 nt
Filed under: uncultured bacterium
Lineage: Bacteria
Description: partial 16S ribosomal RNA
Rfam family: Bacterial small subunit ribosomal RNA
Source: RNAcentral
GACGAACGCUGGCGGCGUGCUUAACACAUGCAAGUCGAACGGAAAGGCCCUGCUUUUGUGGGGUGCUCGAGUGGCGAACGGGUGAGUAACACGUGAGUAACCUGCCCUUGACUUUGGGAUAACUUCAGGAAACUGGGGCUAAUACCGGAUAGGAGCUCCUGCUGCAUGGUGGGGGUUGGAAAGUUUCGGCGGUUGGGGAUGGACUCGCGGGUUAUCAGCUUGUUUGUGGGGUAGUGGCUUACCAAGGCUUUGACGGGUAGCCGGCCUGAGAGGGUGACCGGCCACAUUGGGACUGAGAUACGGACCAGACUCCUACGGGAGGCAGCAGUGGGGAAUAUUGCACAAUGGGCGGAAGCCUGAUGCAGCAACGCCGCGUGCGGGAUGACGGCCUUCGGGUUGUAAACCGCUUUCGCCUGUGACGAAGCGUGAGUGACGGUAAUGGGUAAAGAAGCACCGGCUAACUACGUG